CAGUCGCCACGGUAAUACGUAGGGUGCAAGCGUUAAUCGGAAUUACCGGGCGUAAAGCGUGCGCAGGCGGUCCGCUAAGACAGAUGUGAAAUCCCCGGGCUUAACCUGGGAACUGCAUUUGUGACUGGCGGGCUAGAGUAUGGCAGAGGGGGGUAGAAUUCCACGUGUAGCAGUGAAAUGCGUAGAGAUGUGGAGGAAUACCGAUGGCGAAGGCAGCCCCCUGGGCCAAUACUGACGCUCAUGCACGAAAGCGUGGGGAGCAAACAGGAUUAGAUACCCGUGUAGUCCCUGUCUCUUAUAA
Molecule: ribosomal RNA, 301 nt
Filed under: uncultured bacterium
Lineage: Bacteria
Description: partial 16S ribosomal RNA
Rfam family: Bacterial small subunit ribosomal RNA
Source: RNAcentral